Molecule: small RNA, 159 nt
Filed under: Chrysemys picta bellii (western painted turtle)
Lineage: Eukaryota; Metazoa; Chordata; Testudines; Emydidae
Description: TUC338 (ENSCPBG00000015198.1)
Source: RNAcentral
UUGAAAGCUUUGAAGUCUUCUGUUUAUGCACAGAAAACACAUAGAAGGGAGUUUCUCUACAUUGCCCUGCCAAUCUGUCUCAGACCUAACCUGGAAGGACAACCACUACUAGGGGUUAGAAGUUAGGUCAGUUUCCUGCCCAUUCAGUCCUUAGCCUAA